RNAcentral lists this ribosomal RNA (305 nucleotides) under uncultured bacterium. RNAcentral's name for it is "partial 16S ribosomal RNA". It matches the Rfam family "Bacterial small subunit ribosomal RNA", at positions 508 to 807 of the family's 1533-position model. The record is from RNAcentral.
ACAGCAGUAGCCGCGGUAACACGAAGGGUGCAAGCGUUAAUCGGAAUUACUGGGCGUAAAGCGUGCGUAGGCGGUUUGUUAAGUCUGCUGUGAAAUCCCCGGGCUCAACCUGGGAAUGGCAGUGGAUACUGGCAAGCUAGAGUGUGUCAGAGGAUGGUGGAAUUCCCGGUGUAGCGGUGAAAUGCGUAGAGAUCGGGAGGAACAUCAGUGGCGAAGGCGGCCAUCUGGGACAACACUGACGCUGAGGCACGAAAGCGUGGGGAGCAAACAGGAUCAGAUACCCGCGUAGUCCCUGUCUCUUAUAC